UACUGAAUCUUUUGCAAUUUGUUCAAUUAAUAAUGGAGACUAUAAAUAAGAAUGCUGUUGGUGGAAAGCGGUGUAUUGCAGCUGUCUUUAGCACCGAGACACAGCCGGUGUUUGUUUUUAACACAGAGCGGUCAAGCGAACAUGUUUCUCUUCGUCAACCAGCAUGUUUUUGGAUGGGAAAAUUGUCAUAUAUAUCUUACAGCUGACAUCAUUGGCUUAUUCGUCCUCCUGCAGUAGCUGUUUAUAAGGCAGCUGUGAGCCUGGCUCUUCGGCUUCUCUCUGAGACACUACCUCGAGGACACCUUGAGGACACAACGUCACCCAGCCUGCUGCGGUCGUGUCGAUUCUACUGACCUGACCGGUCAUGUGAUCACAGCACAUCAGGAUACCUUGAGGACACAACGUCAUCCAGCCUGCUGCGGACGUGUCGAUUCUACUGACCAAACAGGUCAUGUGGCUUUUUGAACCAUGUAAAGUCAUGUUUUAUGAAAUCGCAUUGUCCCCUUUUGAAAUAAACUAAUCUAAAAAAUUAAAAAA
Long non-coding RNA from Nerophis ophidion (straightnose pipefish), 537 nucleotides. RefSeq lists it as uncharacterized. NCBI's taxonomy places the organism in Eukaryota, Metazoa, Chordata, Actinopteri, Syngnathiformes, Syngnathidae. The record is from RefSeq and is a predicted model, not a curated record. The transcript is spliced from 5 exons.